RNAcentral lists this ribosomal RNA (497 nucleotides) under uncultured bacterium. RNAcentral's name for it is "partial 16S ribosomal RNA". It matches the Rfam family "Bacterial small subunit ribosomal RNA", at positions 28 to 507 of the family's 1533-position model. The record is from RNAcentral.
GAUGAACGCUGGCGGCGUGCCUAAUACAUGCAAGUCGAGCGAACAGACGAGGAGCUUGCUCCUUCGACGUUAGCGGCGGACGGGUGAGUAACACGUAGGUAACCUACCUAUAAGACUGGGAUAACUUCGGGAAACCGGCGCUAAUACCGGAUAAUAUUUCGCACCGCAUGGUUCGAUAGUGAAAGAUGGCUUUGCUAUCACUUAUAGAUGGACCUGCGCCGUAUUAGCUAGCUGGUAAGGUAACGGCUUACCAAGGCAACGAUACGUAGCCGACCUGAGAGAGGGAUAGGCCACACUGGAACUGAGACACGGUCCAGACUACUACGGGAGGCAGCAGUAGGGAAUCUUCCGCAAUGGGCGAAAGCAUGACGGAGCAACGCCGCGUGAGUGAUGAAGGUCUUCGGAUCGUAAAACUCUGUUAUUAGGGAAGAACAAACGUGUAAGUAACUGUGCACGUCUUGACGGUACCUAAUCAGAAAGCCACGGCUAACUACGUG